This 492-nucleotide ribosomal RNA is filed under the name uncultured bacterium. Its description in RNAcentral is "partial 16S ribosomal RNA". It matches the Rfam family "Bacterial small subunit ribosomal RNA", at positions 29 to 507 of the family's 1533-position model. The record is from RNAcentral.
AGUGAACGCUGGCGGUAGGCCUAACACAUGCAAGUCGAACGGCAGCACAGUAAGAGCUUGCUCUUACGGGUGGCGAGUGGCGGACGGGUGAGGAAUACAUCGGAAUCUACUUUUUCGUGGGGGAUAACGUAGGGAAACUUACGCUAAUACCGCAUACGACCUACGGGUGAAAGCAUGGGAUCUUCGGAUCUUGCGCGAUUGAAUUAGCCGAUGUCGGAUUAGCUAGUUGGCGGGGUAAAGGCCCACCAAGGCGACGAUCCGUAGCUGGUCUGAGAGGAUGAUAAGCCACACUGGAACUGAGACACGGUCCAGACUCCUACGGGAGGCAGCAGUGGGGAAUAUUGGACAAUGGGCGCAAGCCUGAUCCAGCCAUACCGAGUGGGUGAAGAAGGCCUUCGGGUUGUAAAGCCCUUUUGUUGGGAAAGAAAAGCAGCAGGUUAAUACCACGCUGUUCUGACGGUACCCAAAGAAUAAGCACCGGCUAACUUCGUG